UUAAUAAAAAUUAAUUUAGGUUCUCUAUUUAGAGAUUAAAAGGGAAAGAGGUGGAAAUCCUCUGCAGCCCCCGCUACUGUAAUGGUGGACGAAAUCUGGUAUAUAACACUGUGACUUAUGUCAUGGGAAGUUCAGAAAGUAGGAAGAAGCCAGAGCCAGGAGACCUGCCUAAAUAAAAAAUCUUCG
RNAcentral lists this non-coding RNA (186 nucleotides) under Caminicella sporogenes. The record is from RNAcentral. Lineage: Bacteria; Bacillati; Bacillota; Clostridia; Peptostreptococcales; Caminicellaceae. RNAcentral also lists the same sequence under 1 other name.